AUGAUCCUACGGGGCGCAGCAGUGGGGAAUAUUGGACAAUGGGGGAAGCCCUGAUCCAGCGACGCCGCGUGAGUGAAGAAGUAUUUCGGUACGUAAAGCUCUAUCAGCAGGAAAGAAAAUGACGGUACCUGACUAAGAAGCCCCGGCUAACAACGUGCCAGCAGCCGCGGUAAUACGUAGGGGGCAAGCGUUAUCCGGAUUUACUGGGUGUAAAGGGAGCGUAGACGGCAGCGCAAGUCUGGAGUGAAAUGCCGGUGCCCAACCCCGGAACUGCUCUGGAAACUGUGAAGC
RNAcentral lists this ribosomal RNA (291 nucleotides) under uncultured bacterium. Its description in RNAcentral is "partial 16S ribosomal RNA". It matches the Rfam family "Bacterial small subunit ribosomal RNA", at positions 333 to 641 of the family's 1533-position model. The record is from RNAcentral.